UUUGGAGGGGCAAGUCUGGUGCCAGCAGCCGCGGUAAUUCCAGCUCCAAUAGCGUAUAUUAAAGUUGUUGCAGUUAAAAAGCUCGUAGUUGAACCUUGGGCCUGGCUGGCCGGUCCGCCUCACCGCGUGUACUGGUCCGGCCGGGCCUUUCCUUCUGGGGAACCUCAUGCCCUUCACUGGGCGUGUUGGGGAACCAGGACUUUUACUUUGAAAAAAUUAGAGUGUUCAAAGCAGGCCUUUGCUCGAAUACAUUAGCAUGGAAUAAUAGAAUAGGACGUGUGGUUCUAUUUUGUUGGUUUCUAGGACCGCCGUAAUGAUUAAUAGGGAUAGUCGGGGGCAUCAGUAUUCAAUCGUCAGAGGUGAAAUUCUUGGAUUGAUUGAAGACUAACUACUGCGAAAGCAUUUGCCAAGGAUGUUUUCAUUAAUCAGUGAACGAAAGUUAGGGGAUCGAAGACGAUCAGAUACCGUCGUAGUCUUAACCAUAAACUAUGCCGACUAGGGAU
RNAcentral lists this ribosomal RNA (503 nucleotides) under uncultured fungus. Its description in RNAcentral is "SSU rRNA". It matches the Rfam family "Eukaryotic small subunit ribosomal RNA", at positions 539 to 1053 of the family's 1831-position model. The record is from RNAcentral. Lineage: Eukaryota; Fungi.